CCUACGGGAGGCAGCAGUGAGGAAUAUUGGUCAAUGGCCGGAAGGCUGAACCAGCCAUGCCGCGUGAAGGUCAGUGCCCUUUGGGCGUUAAACUUCUUUUGUGCGGGAGCAAUAAUGGUCACGUGUGGCCAGACGAGAGUACCGUACGAAUAAGCAUCGGCUAACUCCGUGCCAGCAGCCGCGGUAAUACGGGGGAUGCAAGCGUUAUCCGGAUUUAUUGGGGUUAAAGGGUGCGUAGGCUGUGAGGUAAGUCAGCGGUGAAAUGCCCCCGCUCAACGGGGUGAAGUGCCAUUGAUACUGCCUUGCUGGAAUGCGGAUGCGGUGGGAGGAAUGUGUGGUGUAGCGGUGAAAUGCGUAGAUAUCACACAGAACACCGAUUGCGAAGGCAUCUCACGAAUCCGCGAUUGACGCUGAUGCACGAAAGCGUGGGUAUCAAACAGGAUUAGAUACCCCUGUAGUC
This 460-nucleotide ribosomal RNA is filed under the name uncultured bacterium. Its description in RNAcentral is "partial 16S ribosomal RNA". It matches the Rfam family "Bacterial small subunit ribosomal RNA", at positions 338 to 795 of the family's 1533-position model. The record is from RNAcentral.